AAUUUUUAAAAAGUAAAAUUUAUUGUUAUCAAUAGAGUUUGCUCACUGAGAAGUUGGUAUCUAAGGACACACCCUCUAAAACCAUACCGACCUCAGUUAUCUUGGGACUAGUGUGCACCUGAGGGUAUUCUAUGUUUAAAUCUCACUGCCUAAGGCUAGUCAGAUCCUACUGUUUCUUACUAAAUUUCACAUCAGGUCCUCAGCUCCUUGUGAAUUUUCUAUAGUAACUAAAGUUCAAACAUAUAUGUCUAUAGAAAUUUCCCUUUCCAUUAGUUUUUCUGAAUCUCAUUCCUAUUCAGAUGUGAACUCUAAUGUGAUGUUAUUAGCCCCUAAGUAGUUCUGUCCUUUUCUUCUGGGCUACAAAUGGUUUGUGCACUGUUUAAUUUUGGGUAGAUAUCACCCACCCCCAUCCCCAUGCAGUUUCACUUAUUUUUUCAAAGGUAUCAGAAAUAUUUGUGUAAGAAUUUAAAGAGUGGGAAAGGAGAUGCCUUUUGCAUAAAAGACUACAAAGAAAAGCUGGGUGGGGCUUUGACGCAUAGCUAAGAAGGCUUUGGGACUAGUCCUGCAAGUAGAUUGAGUUCCCUUUUGGGAUAAUUUUGAGGCUUCCUCUUUUUCUUAUGAAAAUAAAGUUUUGGGAAUUCUUAGGUCCCACAGGUUUGAUCAUGGGGAAAUAGACAGCACAAACUCAUUGUGUCUUAAGAAGGCCAAGAUAACGUCAUAAAAUUCUUAUUCUUGAAAAAAACAAAAUAGAAUUUCCAAUUGAAAGAAGAUUCUUCCUCCAGGGAUGCCACUUUUGGAGAGGCAUAUUGGCAGCUGAAAGUAUUUUAGGACAAUUGAUGGACAGGGAACAUGUAUUUGAGGAUGUUUGAAGGUAACAUUUCUCUGUAGGAUAACGGUGUCUGUGGGAAUUCUAUCCAAAAAUACUUCUUAAGAAGAAAACCUUUAAUUCAGCAAGGAUUUACUAAAAUAUCCACUUGGUACCCCCAAUGACACCCUAAUUGGGAAAUAUUUACUGAGCGUUUCUUUGUGUUAGGCCCCAGGCUAGGGGUCAAGGGAUGCAGUCUCUGACCUUGAGGAACUCUGCAGGGUAGAGGUGAGGGGCAAGUAAACCAGCAGGUACUAGACAGUGAUGAGGGCAUUGCUGAGAACCUGUCAAACCAAUUAGUGCCUUUACAUCAGAGAAAGAGCAGUCUACUCUUUGAGGAUGCUCAAAAAAAAAGCUCCAUAGGUGUCAUCAAAUGAGAUAAUGGGCUAUUAAACAUACCUAUGUUUUAUGCAUAUCCUUACCUUGACUUGGGGUAUCUUCCAAGCCAGACUCCUGAGAGCAAAUCCUUAUCACACUGUUCGAUGAGAUAGGUAUUGUUAUUACCCCUACUUUACAGGUUAAGAAACUGAUACACAGAGGGGAUCAGGAACUUGCCCAGUAUUAUGCUACUUGUGUGCAGCGUGGGGCCAAGGCCUGGAUUGGGACCUAGCCAGUUUGACUCCAGAGCUCUCAACCUUACUGAGCAGCCAGGGACCACUCAGUGAAAAGGAACCGUAGUGUGAUGUAUAAACGUGACUGCUUUCGCAUGCAGUUGACCUGUAAGUUUAAGAUUUUAAGCAGCAGGGAGGAAAUUUCAGUUUUGACUUAACGCUCUGGUAUUACAAAUGAGAUAAUACUAAGUUUUUGAUUAAGUCCACAGAAGCUUGUCUUAGUGUUAAACCUUUACUGCCACUGGGAUACAAAAGGAGCACCUUUGCAGUCAACAAAUGGGCAUUUUGAGCAUCUGAGUGCUUUUUUGAAUGCGUAGAGGCAGCUUCCCAUUUUACGUUAGUCUGAAGAUGCCCCUGAUGAGUAAUUUCCAUUUAGUUCCCGCUUUCUGCCCAGCAGAUCUGCACACACGUCACCACCACCACCCCUGUCCCCAAUAACAGUCCUCUCAUUUCAGUUUCUUAUCUACUUCAGAGCCCUCAUUUUGGAGCCCUUGCUCCAAGAAGUAAGUGGCCUUCAUGCUUCAGCUACCCAAGGUCCCCUUGCCCUGUUUAUCCUUUUCCUUUUUGGCUCCUGCAGACCCUGGGGCAGGGUGACCUUAUUAAAGACUCUGUGAAACAAAGUUGUCUGUCUUCUCUUCAGAGACACCUCUCCCCUCUACUGGUAAUUCAAAAAGGAACUUUCUCCUUAUCCACUCCUUCCAUCUCCCUGAAGAAAGGAUGGGUUGGAGUAGUAAUACGUGGUCAUUGCUCGUGGUGAGCAGCCAGUUACCAUACAGUGAUUGGAUAGUGCCAAAUCUCAUCCCACCUCCCCGCCUUGAACCAGCUGAUCUGGUUUCAGUGUUCUAUGCCUGGCUUCUCAGAUAGAGGAAGGUGGGCAUUUAAAAAGUGCUCGUGACCCUCCCCUCUGUCUCUUUGCAACUUUGGCUUUGUUAUCUUCCUUCUUAUCAUUUUUCACUCCCAGCUCUGCUGUUUCCUUUCCUUCUAUUCUCUGGAAUCUUCCAAGCAAGCAGCUGUAACUUUGUAUGUCCUCUCCACCCAGCCCCCUCCCCCGCCCCCAUGGAAGAGGAGGAGAGAGCACCCUCUCCCUGUGGGGUUAGGCCUCGGUAGCUGUUGUAACCUGAGAAAAGGAGGAAAAAGGCCAGGCCUUUUGAGCCAGCAGUGAGCUCCUUGUGGCCUGCCAGAGGAUAAGAGCCUUGCUCACUCAGCGCCCUCCCUCUCUUCUUUCCCCUCCCCUGCUGCAGCAGGGCCCUCCCCCAUCCGCACACACGGGCUGCUGGGUAAGUGGCAAGAUGGCUCCCCUGCAUGUCUCCGGCUGAUCGCCGCCGCUCCGCCAAUACAAUAGAGCCAGCCACUACCAGCAGCCUGGCCCUCUUCCUCCUCCUUCUCCAGAGAGACCAAUCCAGCUGAAUUCGGGGUUUGCCAAAGGGAUAAACAGCACUUCCAGGGGGAGAAAAAAAAUCAUGUUAUCAGAAAGCAAAGAAGGUUGGAAUAAGGGAGUGGGAGAAACUGGGCGAAGGCCGAAUGUAAGAACAAUUGCUACACCUCUGAGCAGGUAAAAGUGGCCUGGUGCUUCUUUGAGCUUUCAUACUCUGGCAGUUUUUGUUUUUCCUUUUGGAUUAGAGGGGGUCCCUGUUGAAGCUUGAACCCUCACCAGCCUUCCUCUCCCUGCAGCCCUCACCCCCACCAUUUCUCCAAUCCUGGUGUCUGCAGACCCUGAGGGUCAGUAGGCUUUUACUUACUAAGCAGUUGAUUAAACCCAAGGUUGGGAUCAUCUGCCACAGCCCUGGCUGUUCUUUCUCCUCUUUUUAAGGAAUCAGGCUUCCCUUAGUUUCUCAUGUAGUUUGGUUAAAUAAAGGUGUCUGCGCCCAGGUCUAGGGAGGCCACGGGGUUGUGGGCAAAUCACAGUUACUUUUGAGGGACUUUGCAGAGAGGGAUGUUUCUCCUCUUCAUAUAGGGGUACUCCGGUGGAUUACCUAAGAACAUUGGAGCCCUGACCCCACACAUCACAGCUUUAUCCCAUCUGGGCAGUGAGUGAAUGUGGUUGCUGUGAUCUGUGCUCUUUCCCCUAGGAAAACCGUUUCCUGGUUUUCCUGGGGGGACAAGGUCUCUAGUCUGAUGUAAAAAGCAGCCCUCCCAAUCCCACCCAAGUGACGAGGCAUGGGGGUUUCCUUGACCCAAAACCUAACGUCUUGCUCUCUCUUCCCCUUGGUUCUUUCCUGCCCUUUCCUCCCAACCUCUCCCCAU
Non-coding RNA from Kogia breviceps (pygmy sperm whale), 3720 nucleotides. The record is from RefSeq and is a predicted model, not a curated record. NCBI's taxonomy places the organism in Eukaryota, Metazoa, Chordata, Mammalia, Artiodactyla, Physeteridae.